This 1557-nucleotide ribosomal RNA is filed under the name Triticum aestivum (bread wheat). RNAcentral's name for it is "partial small subunit ribosomal RNA". The record is from RNAcentral. Lineage: Eukaryota; Viridiplantae; Streptophyta; Magnoliopsida; Poales; Poaceae.
AUGCAGCAAGUACCUUGGGAGUAUCAGCUGGCCGUGGCUGAUUACUGGAAGGGGAGGCCGGCGGCCAUGGAGCCAGCAGCUACUGCAUGGGUUCCCGGCCUCCCUUUGGAGCUGACAGUCGCUGCUCCUGCUGCUAGCCACGGUGAUCUGGCCGUCAGCUCCAGCGGACAGCAGCACCAGCACCAGCUGGUCAUGGUGGAGAGCACCACCGACCAUCACCAUCAGUACGAGUGGAGCGGUCCGGUGGAGGCGUUCGAGGAAGCAGCGCAGGCGUUCGAGGACAAGCUCGGCAGGACGGAGACGAAGAUCCACCUGUUCCCGGCGAGCAUGGUGGACCUCGCCGAGCGGUACGCCGCGUCCAGGACCGUCUCCAUCGGCCCCUACCACCACGGCCGGAGCCCCGCCGUCCUGCAGAUGGAGAGCACCAAGCACGUGGCCUCCUGGCACUUCGUCAGGGCCUCCGGCCGCCCCGUCGAGGAGCUGUACUCCGCGGUCUGCGCCGUCGCCGACGAGGCCCGCGGCUGCUACGACGAGGGCAGGGUGCGUGGUCUCGCUGACGACGACUUCAAGCCCAUGAUGUUCUUCGACGGCUGCUUCCUGCUGCAGUACCUGCUGUACGCGUGCACGUACGGCGACGACAACGACGACGACGAGGGGAUGGCAGUAGACCAGGCGCUGAGGAGCGCCUUCAGCUCCGACAACGACCGCAUCUUCUCCGACGUGGUGCUGCUCGAGAACCAGCUCCCGUGGGUGGUGGUCGAGACGCUCAUGAGCUUCUUGCCCGCGCCCGGUCUGGACCUGCCGAAGCUCGUCGGACGCGUGAAAGGCUCCCUGCAGGCCCGGCAGGCCCUCGACGAGAAACCGCCCGCGUGGGACAGCAGCUACACGCCGCCGCACCUCCUCGGCCUCCUGCGGUACUACAUCGUCGGAACCGGCACCAAGCUCUCGCCCGAGUCCUCCCGCGGCCUAUCCGAGAAGGCCGAGAAGGUGUCCAUCUCCGUGAGCGCCGUGGAGCUCGCGGAGAUGGGCAUCCAGCUGACGGCCACCAAGACGGGGGCGGAGCUGAAGGAGAUGGGCGUCAAGAAGGGGCUCCUCUCCGGCGAGCUCUUCCUGGCGCCGCUGUCCCUGGACGACGCGAACGCUUGGUUCCUCGUCAACAUGGCGGCGCUGGAGCUGUGCACGACGCCGGACUUCUCCGAGGCCGACGACGAGCGGUCCACCGUGUGCUCGUACCUCUGCCUGCUGGGCAUGGUGACGGACCGCGUGGAGGACGUGCAGCAGCUGCGCACGAAUCACAUCUUGCAGGGGGGAGCGGGGCUGACCAACGAGGACGCGCUCCGCCUCUUCAUCAGCCUCGAGAAGCACCUGCGCCCCGGGAGAUGCUACCUCCGCACCAUGCUGGAAAUCGAGAACUACAGGGUCCAUAGGCCGGCGAGGACUAUGGUGUACAGGUUUGGCUACAAGAACAUGAAGACUAUCAUCAGCGUGGUGACCAUCGUCGGCGCACUCGUCGGUUUGCUCGAGGCAGUCAAGCCGGAGGGUGUAGCCGGAGGGUGA